CUUUUUGCUUGUUGCCUGGUUGGAUGAAGAGGCUUCAAAGGAAGCCCAGCUGCUAAUGAGGAAGUCCCUGAAUGAUUCAGUGAUGCAGAUUCUCAUCCCUACUCCUACCUACCUGUACUCUACCGUCAUUCACAUGACAGAGAGGGAGAGAGAGAAAAACCACCACCACCACCACCACCACACCUACAGCAAAAACCCUUUAUUUUAUUAAGGCACUGAGAUUCAACAGAUUUUUUUUCAGUUGCUAGUCUAACCUGGCGAAUAUACAUUACUCUUUUCUAUUCUACAAUUUUAUUAGAUCUUCAUUCUAAAGAUCCAGGGUAAAUGUUUUAAGGGCAAAACUAGGAAACAAACACAGGGGAAAAUCAAAGAGUGAUUCAUCACAUCAAAAUCCAACCCUGCUUUCAGAUAUGGUAAUAAAAACCCCUUAAAAUGGAAUAGGUCUCUUGGACUUUCUUUGCACAGACAAGAUGACACCACAGAUCUCUGCAUGCCUUGGUGCCAAACUAAUACAAUACAGUAAGUGUAAGACUCGGGUAAAAUUUAAAGUAAACACUAAAGAUGGGUAGGUCAAUUACCCCCAGAGUAUUAAUUAAAGGCCCUUCUCAGGCCACUAGAAAUACAAAGGAAUCUGUCACAGAGACAAGAAAAGGGAACUGCAACCAACUCUUAUCCGUCCUCGGUCUCUGUGCCUUUCGCAGAGCUUCCAGCAGCGCUAUGUUGGGCCAGAGCAUCAGGAGGUUCACAACCUCUGUGGUCCGUAGGAGCCACUAUGAGGAGGGCCCUGGGAAGAAUUUGCCAUUUUCAGUGGAAAACAAGUGGUCGUUACUAGCUAAGAUGUAUCUGUACUUUGGAUCUGCAUUUGCUACACCCUUCCUUGUAGUAAGACACCAACUGCUUAAAACAUAAGGAUGUUUCGGUCCCUCCAUUUAACAGAUAUGAAGAGCAUUUUAAGAGGUGCAGCCUCUGGAAGUGGAUCAAACUAGAACUCAUAUGCCAUACCAGAUAUGUUUGUCAAUAAACUUAUGACAUG
Molecule: RNA transcript, 1033 nt
Organism: Nomascus leucogenys (northern white-cheeked gibbon)
Lineage: Eukaryota; Metazoa; Chordata; Mammalia; Primates; Hylobatidae
Gene name: cytochrome c oxidase subunit 7C, mitochondrial pseudogene
Exons: 1
Source: RefSeq, a predicted model, not a curated record